Molecule: ribosomal RNA, 468 nt
Filed under: uncultured bacterium
Lineage: Bacteria
Description: partial 16S ribosomal RNA
Rfam family: Bacterial small subunit ribosomal RNA
Source: RNAcentral
GACGAACGCUGGCGGCGUGCUUAACACAUGCAAGUCGAACGGAAAGGCCCUGCUUUUGUGGGGUGCUCGAGUGGCGAACGGGUGAGUAACAAGUGAGUAACCUGCCCUUGACUUUGGGAUAACUUCAGGAAACUGGGGCUAAUACCGGAUAGGAGCUCCUGCUGCAUGGUGGGGGUUGGAAAGUUUCGGCGGUUGGGGAUGGACUCGCGGCUUAUCAGCUUGUUGGUGGGGUAGUGGCUUACCAAGGCUUUGACGGGUAGCCGGCCUGAGAGGGUGACCGGCCACAUUGGGACUGAGAUACGGCCCAGACUCCUACGGGAGGCAGCAGUGGGGAAUAUUGCACAAUGGGCGGAAGCCUGAUGCAGCAACGCCGCGUGCGGGAUGACGGCCUUCGGGUUGUAAACCGCUUUCGCCUGUGACGAAGCGUGAGUGGCGGUAAUGGGUAAAGAAGCACCGGCUAACUACGUG